GCCCCACCAAGAGCCGUGCCACAGCCUGAGAGCCCUGAAUGGGAAGAAAUGGGUUCCAUGUGCAGCAAGCCAGGAGAGAUUUAGGCAACGAGAACCUCCAGUUCUGUCUUAGGGUUCCCAGCUUUCUCCUUGUCCUGAGGGAGCCGCUGAGCCUGUGGGAGAUGAGGGGUGCCCAUUCCCCAGUGCUUCUCACCCUCCCCCACCUGCCCUCCUGGGGUACCUUUGUCUGCCACUUGCAUCCUAUUGGAAGCUGUCCCCAAGUGCGUGUUAGGCAGGUGGCAGGUGCUGGAGCAGAGUGCACCACCCUCCGGCGAUCACUGUGAGUUGGGGUAAGAGUGGGGUGUUCCUGCCAGCCCCAGGAGAGGGGAAAGCAAGCCCCCGUCCACCCUUGUGGGUCUCUGCUCCUGGAAAAGGUGCUCUAGCAGGCUCAUCUGUGUGAGUCACUGUCUUCCAUGUGGGGUAAGUUGAGCCCUGCCUUUUGGAUCUCAAAAUCCAGGGAUGCCGACAUCCUGGGUCUGGAGAAGGGAGGAGGCACAGGGCAGCAGAGCCCUGGCCUGUCUUUCCUGACGGGGUAUGGAGCUGGCAGGACAGGGAGGCUAGGUGGCUGGUGGUGCAGGGCGUGCCCAUCCCUCUACCUCCUUCCUCACAGCCCUGCACUGCUCUGUCCCGGUCUGGCCCCUCUUCUCUCCUCACUUUUUCUUCUCUGCUUCUCUUCUCUCUCACUCCCCUCCUAUCCUCAACCUUUUCGU
RNAcentral lists this long non-coding RNA (749 nucleotides) under Homo sapiens (human). RNAcentral's name for it is "non-protein coding LINC00592:9". Lineage: Eukaryota; Metazoa; Chordata; Mammalia; Primates; Hominidae. The record is from RNAcentral.